This is a non-coding RNA of Hypomesus transpacificus, 573 nucleotides long. NCBI's taxonomy places the organism in Eukaryota, Metazoa, Chordata, Actinopteri, Osmeriformes, Osmeridae. The record is from the annotation of a RefSeq genome assembly.
AUGUUCUCUGUUUCUCUGCUGCUGUUGGUUGCAGUUGCUUCCUGUGUGAACAGUGAACAACUCACCCAGCGAGCCUCUAUGACUGUUCAGCCAGGUCAAGCACUGACCAUCCCUUGUCAGGUUUCCUAUUUUGUUAGUGGUUACUGGACUGCAUGGAUUCGACAACCUCAGGGUAAAGCAUUAGAGUGGAUGGGAUACAAAUGCAGUGGAGGUAGCUCAGUUACCAAAGACUUACUGAAGAACAAAGUCAGUUUCACUGUAGACACCACCACAAACACGGUGUUCCUCAAAGGAAACAACUUUCAGCCAGAAGACACAACUUUGUAUAACUGUGCCCGAGAAUCUAAUCACCUCACAAUGUUUCCUACUUUUGGAAUACUCUACCUGAUGAUGUGUGUGAUAGGUAUUCAAUGUCAGACACUGACUGAGUCUGAACCAGUAGUUGUGAAGCCUGGAGAAUCCCACAAACUGACCUGUACUGCCGCUGGGUUCACAUUCAGUAGCUACUAUAUGGCUUGGAUCAGACAGGCUCCUGGGAAGGGGCUGGAGUGGGUGGCAACCAAAGUUCUCUGA